UCUUCACACAGGUCUCUCCAUAGGGCUGCCAUCCCGCUGCUAGAGGUGGCAGGAGGCAUUUCCAGAGCUGUUAAGAGACAAUUUUGUUGGAAAGGGAGAUAAAAAAGGACAUCAAAGGGGAGCCCAGUGUGUGUGGAGAGGAGCCUGGGGGGCAGGGGAUUAAAUUCUACUCCAGCUGUGCAGGUGAUCAGAAGGCUGAUUGGUGGGGCCGUGGUCCCUAAGGGCACCAACCCCUAACCUUCCUUGCCAGUUUCUACUUCCUCACUUUAUCCAUCUGUGAAGUGGGUACAGUGGGGCCUGCCCUCUCUGUCAUGUGAACUCUUUCCUGAGACAAGCGACUCCUGGGAGCGCCAUGGGCUGGCUCCAUCGCAUCUGCCCAGCAGCCGCGGACAGGUGGACAGCAACUGAGUUUGGGGAAGAGGGGUCGGGGAGAAACGGCAG
Molecule: non-coding RNA, 441 nt
Organism: Peromyscus maniculatus bairdii (prairie deer mouse)
Lineage: Eukaryota; Metazoa; Chordata; Mammalia; Rodentia; Cricetidae
Source: RefSeq, a predicted model, not a curated record